RNAcentral lists this ribosomal RNA (373 nucleotides) under uncultured bacterium. RNAcentral's name for it is "bacterial SSU rRNA". It matches the Rfam family "Bacterial small subunit ribosomal RNA", at positions 523 to 898 of the family's 1533-position model. The record is from RNAcentral.
AUACGGAGGAUGCGAGCGUUAUCCGGAUUUAUUGGGUUUAAAGGGUGCGUAGGUGGGAAGAUCAGUCAGCGGUGAAAGCUUGUGGCUUAACCAUAACACUGCCGUUGAAACUGUCUUUCUUGAGUAUGAUUGAUGUAUGCGGAAUGCGUGUUGUAGCGGUGAAAUGCAUAGAUAUCACGCAGAACUCCGAUUGCGAAGGCAGCAUACAAACUCAUGACUGACACUGAAGCACGAAAGCGUGGGGAUCAAACAGGAUUAGAUACCCUGGUAGUCCACGCCGUAAACGAUGAUUACUAGGAGUUUGCGAUAAACAGUAAGCUCUACAGCGAAAGCGUUAAGUAAUCCACCUGGGGAGUACGCCGGCAACGGUGAA